CCUACGGGAGGCAGCAGUAGGGAAUUUUCCGCAAUGGGCGAAAGCCUGACGGAGCAAUACCGCGUGAGGGAUGACGGCCUGUGGGUUGUAAACCUCUUUUCUCAAGGAAGAAGUUCUGACGGUACUUGAGGAAUAAGCAUCGGCUAACUCUGUGCCAGCAGCCGCGGUAAUACAGAGGAUGCAAGCGUUAUCCGGAAUCACUGGGCAUAAAGCGUCUGUAGGUUGUUUAGUAAGUCUGCUGUUAAAGACUGGGGCUUAACCCCAGAAAAGCAGUGGAAACUGCUAGACUCGAGUGUGGUAGAGGUAGAGGGAAUUCCUAGUGUAGCGGUGAAAUGCGUAGAUAUUAGGAAGAACACCAAUGGCGAAGGCACUCUACUGGGCCAUAACUGACACUGAGAGACGACAGCUAGGGGAGCAAACGGGAUUAGAUACCCCGGUAGUCCCUAGCCGUAAACGAUGGAUACUAGAUGUUGCACGUAUUAACCCGUGCAGUAUCGUAGCUAAGGCGUUAAGUNUCCGCCUGGGAAUACGCUCGCAAAGGNGUGAAACUCAAGGAUUGACGNUGAGAGNGCGAGCGACGACGAGGGAGAGG
RNAcentral lists this ribosomal RNA (592 nucleotides) under uncultured bacterium. RNAcentral's name for it is "bacterial SSU rRNA". It matches the Rfam family "Bacterial small subunit ribosomal RNA", at positions 338 to 946 of the family's 1533-position model. The record is from RNAcentral.